AAACUAACCAGGAUUCCCCUAGUAACGGCGAGUGAAGCGGGAAGAGCUCAAGCUUAAAAUCUCUGUGCAAGUUUUGCAUGGCGAAUUGUAGUCUAUAGAGGCGUGGUCAGUGCAGGCAUUUGGGGUAAGUUCCUUGGAAGAGGACAGCAUCGAGGGUGAUACUCCCGUUUGUACCCGAGUGCUUUGCGCGUACGACCCGUUUUCUUUGAGUCGCGUUGUUUGGGACUGCAGCGCAAAGUAGGUGGUAAAUUCCAUCUAAAGCUAAAUAUUGGUGCGAGACCGAUAGCGAACAAGUACCGUGAGGGAAAGAUGAAAAGAACUUUGAAAAGAGAGUUAAAGAGUACCUGAAACUGCUGAAAGGGAAGCGAAUCGUAUCCAGUGUCUAUAAUCCGUGGCAUAUUUCAUUGGCUCGCGUGCGCGUGCGGGUAGUUGGAAGUAGCUUGCUGCUCCGCUGUCGGUUCUGCGUGUGUUGGUUGGUGCCCUGUGUCAUGGUGGGACGUCAGAGUCAGUUCGUAUGCUGCGGGAAAUGGUUACGGAGGAGGUAGGUCAGGGGCUUGCUCUUGGCUGUUAUAUCUCUGUGACUAGUGGUCGUGGUUGGGACUGAGGUGCCUACAACGUGCUUUUGGGUCUUUCGGAUUCUUGCGCCGCGUGUCGUUUGGAUAGCUUGCUAUGCUGGUGGCAUUGUGGUGUGAUGGAGUCUGUUUGCAACCUUUUGCCGUUCGGGACUUUGACGAAAUGGAGCGAUUCGGC
Molecule: ribosomal RNA, 750 nt
Filed under: Pythium sp. UZ182
Lineage: Eukaryota; Oomycota; Peronosporomycetes; Pythiales; Pythiaceae
Description: LSU rRNA
Rfam family: Eukaryotic large subunit ribosomal RNA
Source: RNAcentral